CCUACGGGAGGCAGCAGUGGGGAAUAUUGCACAAUGGGGGAAACCCUGAUGCAGCAACGCCGCGUGAGUGAGGAAGUAUUUCGGUAUGUAAAGCUCUAUCUGCAGGGAAGCGAAAAGAAGGUACCUGAAAUAGAAGCCCCGGCUAACUACGUGCCAGCAGCCGCGGUACUACGUAGGGGGCAAGCGUUAUCCGGAUUUACUGGGUGUAAAGGGAGCGUAGACGGGAAGGCAAAUCAGAAGGGAAAACCCAAGGCUCAACCAUGGGACUGCUUUUGAAACUGGCAAACUAGAGUACGGGAGAGGUAAGAGGAAUUCCUAGUGUAGCGGUGAAAUGCGUAGAUAUUAGGAGGAACACCGAUGGCGAAGGCAUCUUACUGGACCGAAACUGACGUUGAGGCUCGAAAGCGUGGGGAGCGAACAGGAUUAGAUACCCGGGUAGUC
RNAcentral lists this ribosomal RNA (441 nucleotides) under uncultured bacterium. Its description in RNAcentral is "partial 16S ribosomal RNA". It matches the Rfam family "Bacterial small subunit ribosomal RNA", at positions 338 to 795 of the family's 1533-position model. The record is from RNAcentral.